GGGAGCCUCCACCCAGGCGCAUGGCUCCAUGAAGCAAGAGGAGGAGGCAGAGCGCGAGAGAUCCCGUCCGCCCCAGCCGCGUCUGGGCCAGGAGAAAAGCAAAACCAUAUUCCUGCUGCUGUCAGUUUUGAUGCACUGAGAAAACUUCAGAGACCUAAGCUUUUUCCAGAGAAGAGAAGCUUUACUGGUGUUCCAGCCCUAAGUCUCGCUCUGUCGCUCAGGCUGGAGUGCAAUGGCGCGAUCUCGGCUCACUGCAAGCUCCGCCUCCUGGGUUCACUCCAUUCUCCUGCCUCAGCCUCCGGAGUAGCUGGGACUACAGGCACCCGCCACCGCGCCCAGCUAAUUUUUUUUUUUUUUAGUAGAGACGCGGUUUCACCGUGUUAGCCAGGAUGGUCUCGAUCUCCUGACCUCGUGAUCCGCUCGUCUCGGCUUCCCAAAGUGCUGAGAUUACAGGCUUGCAGGCGUGAGCCACCGCGCCCGGCCGAGUUAAAGUACUUUUUCUGGAACAAAGAAACUUAGCAUAAAUAGUUAAAAUAUUAAGAGUUGUAAUUAAGGGAAAUUUCAGCUCAAUAUGACUUCAACAGUUUAAAAAAUGUAUUAUUUCACAUAAGACCAUGGAGAGAGGAAUUGGAAGCCCCAGAAUUGAUUGGGUCAGAAAUUGAAAAUGAUACUAUCAGUGACCCAGGUUUGAAUGUCUCUCUCCACAGCAUUGACUUCACUAAUGGAUGUGACCUGGUUGGCAGCAGUAGCUUGCACAACAUGCUUGUUUGCAGUGAGUAGUAGAGAGAAGGUUUUGCUUUCCCAGAAACUCUGAAAAAGGUCAUCAAACCUAAAUUUCCUUAGCCUUCUUCUUCCAUGAGCAAAUCACUAGCAGAUGAUUGCUAGCAAGGUGUUACUAUUACAAUGAACCCCUAAGUGUCAGAGAAAGAGUUAGUUUGGGGAAAUAUCCUCUCCACCACAAUCUUAGUCAUUGAAGUCAAUUUAACAAUAUAUUGAAAUAUUUUUCUUAGAAGUUUAAAGUUCCAUUAAAGAGUAACAAUUACAGAAAUUAUAGGUAGCCUUUAGUUCUACAAGUGACAUCUCAAAAGGGAGAUGAUUCAUCAAUUUCAAACUUUCCCUGCAAGUAAUACUGGAUGAAAAUUAACUUGGCCAACAUAAUUAAUAAUCAUGGGUUAUUAAUUACUUCUGCAAGAAACUUAAAUCCUCAGUGUGACACAACUCAGUCCUUCUACUGCAGCAGCUCUUUUAUAAAAGCCUCCCAAAGCUCCAAGAAGGAACAAAGAAUGUGACCCAGUAAGCUCACACCAUAAGUCUAUAUUGCAGAAACCUUUGUUCAACAAAACUGCAGAUGCUCUGUUGAAUCCACUGGAGAUUGUCCUGAUACUAAGGACAAGUAUGCUCAUAUGACAUUAACAGACAAGACACUUUUCAGAAAGACAGGUAAGUCAUUUGUUAAAAUCUCACUACUGUUGUUUAACAGAAACAUAUAUAUGCAUGUAUAUGUGUGUACUGUAUGGAAAAAGUGGAAUUAGAGUUUAUCUAGAAAAGAAAAAA
This is a long non-coding RNA of Homo sapiens (human), 1554 nucleotides long. Ensembl annotates it as NUTM2A antisense RNA 1. Its record names the gene NUTM2A-AS1. The record is from Ensembl. Lineage: Eukaryota; Metazoa; Chordata; Mammalia; Primates; Hominidae.